Nycticebus coucang (slow loris) is the source of this 2847-nucleotide RNA transcript. It is a transcript of the gene named NEDD4-like E3 ubiquitin-protein ligase WWP1, with no coding region annotated. The transcript has a single exon. NCBI's taxonomy places the organism in Eukaryota, Metazoa, Chordata, Mammalia, Primates, Lorisidae. The record is from RefSeq and is a predicted model, not a curated record.
GUGUAGCACGGUUCCUGAUACAUUGUUUUAGCUGAAUUUUGGGACAUGGCCACUGCUUCACCAAGGUCUGAUACUAGUAAUAACCACAGUGGAAGAUUACAGUUACAAAUAACUGUUUCUAGUGCCAAACUAAAAAGAAAAAAGAACUGGUUUGGAACAGCGAUAUAUGCAGAAGUGGUUGUAGAUGGAGAAAUUAAGAAAACAGCAAAAUCCGGGAGUGCUUCUAAUCCAAAUGGGAUGAACAGCUAACUGUAAAUGUGACCCCACAGACUAAACUGGAAUUUCGAGUUUGGAGUCAUCACACUUUAAAAGCAGAUGCUUUAUUAGGAAAAGCAGUGAUAGAUUUGAAACAAGCUCUGUUAAUACACAAUAGAAAAUUGGAAAGAGUGAAAGAGCAAUUAAAACUUUCCUUGGAAAACAAGAAUGGCAUAGUGCAAACUGGUGAAUUGACAGUUGUGCUUCAUGGAUUGGUGAGUGAGCAAGAAAAUCUAACAAACUGCAGCUCAUCUCCAGCGGUAGAAAUACAGCAAAAUGGUGAUGCCUUACAUGAAAAUGGAGAGCCUUCAGCAAGGACAACUACCAGGUUGGCUGCUGAGGGUACUAAUGGAAUAGAUAACCGCCCUGCAAACACACUGGUCCAAAACUCAUCCAGUCCUUGUGUAGUUUCAAUGGAGACAACACAUCUUCAUCUUCAUCUCAGGUUGCUGCCAGACCCCAAAAUACACCAGCUCCCAAACCACUCACAUCUGAGCCUGCCAAUGACACUGUUAAUGGAGAAUCAUCCUCAUUUGCACCAACCGAUAAUGCUUCUGCCACCGUGACUUCAAUAGUGUCUGAAGAAAACGCCUGGUCUUUAAAUUGCACUAGUACUACAAUCGAAGAUCCUCCAGUUCAAGGAGCAGCGACUUCCUCCGAAAACGAUGAAUGUAUUCCUUCCAGCAGUGCAGAAUUUGGAGCUGAAGUUAGAAGUGUAUUAGACCGUGACACCUCUAAUUCUGGAAAUAGUUCUGUUUUUGAAGCAGCCAAAUUAAGACAGCCAGAUGGGUGUGCGGAACUGCACGGCAGCAAUCUGGAAAUGCCAACGCUGACUUUGCCCUCAGGGUGGGAACAGAGAAAAGAUCCUCAUGGUGGAACCUACUACGUGGAUCAUAACACUAGAACUACCACUUGGGAAAGAAGAGUUGAUGAUCGUGGAAGGGUUUAUUAUGUGGUUCGUAACACCAGAACAACAUGGCAGCGGCCUACCAUGGAAUCUGUCCAGAAUUUUGAACAGUGGCAAUCUCAGCGGAACCAAUUGCAGGGCACUAUGCAAUAGUUCACCAGCGAUACCUCUAUUCAGCUUCAAUGUUAGUGUAGAAAAUGACCCAUACCGACAUUUGCCACCAGGCUGGGAAAAAAGAGUGGAUUCAACAGACAGGGUUUACUUUGUGAAUCAUAACACAAAAACAACCCAGUGGGAAGAUCCAAGAACUCAUGGUUUACGGAAUGAAGAACGCCUGCCAGAGGGGUGGGAAAUUAGUUACACUCGUGAAGGUGUUAGGUACUUUGUCGAUCAUAACACAAGAAUAACAACAUUCAAAGAUCUUCACAAGGGGAAGUCAUCCGUAAUUAAAGGUGGUCCACAAAUUGCUUAUGAGCGCAGCUUUAGGUGGAAACUUGCUCACUUCCGUUAUUUAUGCCAGUCUAAUGCACUACCCAGUCAUGUAAAGAUAAAUGUGUCCCGACAGACAUUGUUUGAAGAUUCCUUCCAACAGAUUAUGGCAUUAUAAAACCCUAUGACUUGAGGAGGUGAUUAUAUGUAAUAUUUAGAGGAGAAGAAGGACUUGAUUAUGGUGGUAUAGCAAGAGAAUGGUUUUUCUUGCUUUCACAUGAAGUUUUGAACCCAAUGUAUUGCUUAUUUGAGUAUGCAGGCAAGAACAACUAUUGUUCGCAAAUAAAUCCAGCAUCAACCAUUAAUCCAGACCAUCUUUCAUACUUCUGUUUCAUUGGUCGCUUUAUUGCUAUGGCACUAUUUCAUGGAAAGUUUAUUGAUACUGGUUUCUCUUUAUCAUUCUAUAAAUGAAUGCUAAGUAAAAAACUUACUAUUAAGGAUUUGGAAUCUAUUGACACUGAAUUUUAAUACUCCCUUAUCUGGAUAAGAGACAACAACUUUGAAGAGUGUGGCUUAGAAAUGUACUUUUCUAUUGAUAUGGAGAUUGUGGGAAAAGUUACUUCACAUGAUCUCAAGUUGGGAGGUUCCAAUAUCCUGGUGACUGAGGAAAACAAAGAUGAAUAUAUUGGUUUAAUGACAGAAUGGCAUUUUUCUCAAGGAGUACAAGAACAGACCAAAGUUUUCCUCUUUAAUGGCUACGGUGCUUUGACGAAAAAGAAUUGGAGGUUAUGUUGCGUGGCAUGCAGGAGGUUGACUUGGCAGAUUGGCAGAGAAAUACUGUUUAUCAACACUAUACGAGAAACAGCAAGCAAAUCACUUGGUUUUGGCAGUUUGUGAAAGACACAGACAAUGAAGUAAGAAUGCGACUGUUACAGUUUGUCACUGGAACCUGUCCUUUACCUCUAGGAGGAUUUGCUGAGCUCAUGGGAAGUAAUGGGCCUCAAAAGUUUUGCAUUGAAAUAGUUGGCAAAGACACCUGGUUACCAAGAAGCCAUACAUGUUUUAAUCACUUGAAUCUACCACCAUAUAAGAGUUAUGAACAACUAAAGGAAAAACUUCGUUUUGCAAUAGAAGAGACAGAGGGAUUUGGAAAAGACUGGAUAUGUGGCUUCUUGUUUUGGAGGAGCUCUUGCAUUUAAAUACCCCAGCCAAGAAAAAUUGCACAGAUAGUGUAUAUACGCUGUUCGUUCUGUACA